This 961-nucleotide long non-coding RNA is filed under the name Microcebus murinus (gray mouse lemur). RNAcentral's name for it is "lncRNA (ENSMICG00000048284.1)". Lineage: Eukaryota; Metazoa; Chordata; Mammalia; Primates; Cheirogaleidae. The record is from RNAcentral.
AAAAUAAUGUGAACAAAAACUUUUUGAAAACAACAAAAGGGAAGAAUGAGUAUCCAAUGGAGCUUUCUGUUUCUUCCAGGGUUUCCUCUUUUGAGCAAAACCAAGCCAGACCUUGACUACUCCCUCCGAGGCAUGAUUGUGCAGGUAUUUGCAGCAAAUCCUCCGCUGGGCGUGGGGAGCACGCCUGAGGAAAGGUGGCGGAAGACGGGAAGGGACGAUCACAGAAAGAAGGCAACGUUUCGGUGGAUAUUGUCGUGUCUGUGCUGAGCACCUGGAACUGCCAGCCUCUAGCCGGAAGAGGAAACCAUCACCGACCACAAGGGAGAAACUGAGGACCCAGCCCUUGUCUUUGUUCAGCUGCUGAAUCAACACACUCAGAGACACACCCGAUGUGCACAAUAAACCUCUUAUUGUAGAAGCCCGUGGAACCUGGAUUUUCUACACCGGAAAGCAGGUAACUGACAAAACAUCUUUGCCAAUGGCGUGUGGUUGCUAUAUUUUGCAUUCCCUUAUUGCAGCAUUUAUCAUGUAUUCAAGACAGUCCUUUUACUCCCAGCAGGCUGGAUUCCUGAGGGCAGGGGCAGUGCUUUAUUCUCCUCUUACGUCCAGAAUCAGGCACAGUGAUUGACACACGGCAAGGGUCUAUGAUUGCUUAUUGAAUUGUAUUCCUGGGGAUAAUUUUCAAUCUUCUUGUAGAUAAUCAGCAUGGAUACUGCUCACUAUUGAUUUUCAAAAGCAGAGAAAAUGCUGUUCUGGAGACUUAGAGGAAUACAGGGGGUGCAGGAUGACUGACAGCCAAAUAAAAGAGAUAGACGUGUGCAGUAUUCUCACAGUGGUACAUGCUCAAUGAGCAUUGGCUUCAGUUUAAAGUCACCAGCUGCAUUAGUGCCUAACAGAGAGUCAGCCUGCCCUGGAAGAUUUGAAGGCAGGCUGCGACUUCUCCUCUCCAGCUAUGAAAGUC